AGUGCGAAUCUCGAAAGCCUGUCUCAGUUCGGAUUGGAGGCUGAAACCCGCCUCCAUGAAGUUGGAUUCGCUAGUAAUCGCGCAUCAGCCAUGGCGCGGUGAAUACGUUCCCGGGCCUUGUACACACCGCCCGUCAAGCCAUGAGAGUUGGCAACACCCGAAGUCGGUAGUCUAACCGCAAGGAGGACGCCGCCGAAGGUGGGGUUGAUGAUUAGGGUUAAGUCGUAACAAGGUAUC
RNAcentral lists this ribosomal RNA (237 nucleotides) under uncultured bacterium. RNAcentral's name for it is "partial 16S ribosomal RNA". It matches the Rfam family "Bacterial small subunit ribosomal RNA", at positions 1264 to 1500 of the family's 1533-position model. The record is from RNAcentral.